This 510-nucleotide ribosomal RNA is filed under the name Mycobacterium intracellulare subsp. chimaera. RNAcentral describes it as "bacterial SSU rRNA". It matches the Rfam family "Bacterial small subunit ribosomal RNA", at positions 69 to 582 of the family's 1533-position model. The record is from RNAcentral. Lineage: Bacteria; Bacillati; Actinomycetota; Actinomycetes; Mycobacteriales; Mycobacteriaceae.
GAAAGGCCCCUUCGGGGGUACUCGAGUGGCGAACGGGUGAGUAACACGUGGGCAAUCUGCCCUGCACUUCGGGAUAAGCCUGGGAAACUGGGUCUAAUACCGGAUAGGACCUUUAGGCGCAUGUCUUUAGGUGGAAAGCUUUUGCGGUGUGGGAUGGGCCCGCGGCCUAUCAGCUUGUUGGUGGGGUGAUGGCCUACCAAGGCGACGACGGGUAGCCGGCCUGAGAGGGUGUCCGGCCACACUGGGACUGAGAUACGGCCCAGACUCCUACGGGAGGCAGCAGUGGGGAAUAUUGCACAAUGGGCGCAAGCCUGAUGCAGCGACGCCGCGUGGGGGAUGACGGCCUUCGGGUUGUAAACCUCUUUCACCAUCGACGAAGGUUCGGGUUUUCUCGGAUUGACGGUAGGUGGAGAAGAAGCACCGGCCAACUACGUGCCAGCAGCCGCGGUAAUACGUAGGGUGCGAGCGUUGUCCGGAAUUACUGGGCGUAAAGAGCUCGUAGGUGGUUUG